UUCUUUUUUUUUUGAGAUGGGGUCUUGCUAUGUUGCCCCAGUUGGUCUUGAACUCCUGGGCUCAAGUAAUCCCCUUACCUCAGCCUCCUGAGCCAGCAAUUUCUCUAUGUGUUGUUUCCUGUCUUUCAAUGGUGGCCCUGCUGCUGCUCUUCCAAGAAGCACAUACGCUGUGCCCCAGGCCUCCCACUGAAGGCCUUAUGCCUCUAGGCAGAAUGGUGCCAUCUCAGGUGGGGUCCAUAGAUAGUUUAAAAUACCAGCCAAGCUGACCAAACUCUUUAUGCCAGAGUCCAACCAUGGGCCUCUAACUCCCACAUCAUUUGCUCUGCCCUGUUCGUUCCUCAGAUUCCAGGAAGCCUGAGCGCCUCAUUCAGCCAGAUGAUGCAAUUUACACCUGGCUUUGAGGAAAAGCAGGGAUGUGGAAAGACAAGAGCAGCUUUCAGAAUUAGCUUUUGUUAGUGGAAAGACCCUGGAUUUAAAGCCAGAGGACAAGAGUUUUGGAGAUAGCAGUGCUGCUGCCACUUAGUGCCUGGAAUUCUGUUACCCUUACUCUCAUCUAUAAAACAGAAGAAAUAAGCUCUGCCCCACAGGACUGGUGUCAAGAUGAACUCAUGUAAACGUAUAUAGCUCGGCACCUUGGUUUCAUAAAUAUUAGCCUUUUCCUCACAUGGAAAAGUGCUUUGAGAACCAGAAAGCCCGAUAAACCAUAUGGCUUUUGAUGAAAACGAGGCACAUUUUGGAGUCAGAUAUAGGAGAGAAUCUCCCUUUAUGAGCUGUGCACCUGAGGCAAAUUGCACAGCCUCUCUGGGCUUCAAUUUUUCACCUGUAGAAUGAGGAUGAUAAUCUCAGCUUAUUAAAAGGAUUGAAACAGAGUAAAAUA
This 877-nucleotide long non-coding RNA is filed under the name Homo sapiens (human). RNAcentral's name for it is "non-protein coding lnc-C11orf45-2:1". The record is from RNAcentral. Lineage: Eukaryota; Metazoa; Chordata; Mammalia; Primates; Hominidae.